GGUUUCAAAAAGCUCUGCAACAAAGUUACAGGUUUCAAAAAGCUCUGCAACAAAGUUACAGGAGUUUUUCAAACCAGGAAUCAUUAUUAGCAAACAGCCAAAUCCUUCUUCACUGCCCCUUCUGGUAUCUAUUCCACUGCAUUCCUCGGCCUGUUUAAAGGAAUUAUUUCUCCUAUUUCACCUGAGCCUAGUGAAAGAGGCAGGAUUGUUAUCUCUAAAUUACUUCUCUAUCUGGAAAGGGGACUUAGAGCUGUUAUGCAGCCUUCCUCGGGGGCAUGGUGGAUGGCAGCCUGGGAUUUGAACUACAGUAGAAUGACAACCAAGGCAACCUCAGAACACCACCUUUGUCUCUCAACAGGAAGGGGAAGGCAACUCCCUAGAGCUGAAAGUUCUCCUCUGUGUCUGUGCAAGCAAAGAGAACUGCCAGGUAGAUUCCCUGUGCACUGACAUCUGGGGAUGCCCGGGAGACGACUGGGGGCACAAGGAUCAUUGUGGGUGGCAGCACAGCUUUUAUACAAGGGGCAGGCUGCUCGGAGCAGCCACUGCCCGACUUCUGUUUGGAACAGCUGCUCAGUAGGUGCUGCUGAGAUGAUGGCCCUGGGUAUCACAGACGCCAGCCAAGCUGGAUAACAUCCCACUGGGUAAAUGUACAACACUUCAUUGUUCAUUCAUCAUUGAUGGACAUCUAGGCUGUUUCCAAUUUCUGGCUCUUAUGAAUAGAGCAGCAGUGAGCACAGAUGAGCAAGGUCUCUUUGGAAAGAGCUCAAAUGUACUCCUCACUACCACAAAUUAUGAAGUCAAAUUUACUCAGGGGUCAGCACACCCCAAAUGCACAGGUGUCUCAGGCCCACAGAGGACAUGGGGCAGCAAGUAGGACUCAGGGAAUAUGUCCAUAACCUGGAUACAGAACUAACGAUCUCGGGAAGAGCUGUGAGCAAAGAAACAUUAUCGAAGUUCAACAUGGUGUCCAAAACAAAAUCCCACAAUGUCUCCUACCUGAAUGAGAGCUUCUACUGAACUCCCCUCAAGAGCAUCUUGAAUCCCAAAAAGACUCCUACACAGAAGCCUUGACUAUCUGAUGUCCCCUUCUUGACAGCGCACUGGCCAGGGCUUCAUAGACACACAUCUUCUCUGGCUACAUGGCUGACGGGUAGGUCUGCGGCUCUGCUCUUCACUGCAUCUACUUGAUUUGGACACCACAACUCCAUCCUGUUUGCAUGAUCCAGUAUUGCACGAAUCCUGAUUUGGAAUUCUUCCCUUUUCUGACUUAGUGAAGAGGAGCCCAGUUUAGUGAUUAUUGAAAAAAAACAGACAUUUUUCUAGUGUUCACAAGGCAAGCACUGGUGCAAACCCACUGUUCACAUUAAAUAUGCUAUGGACCCAGAUGUGUAUUUUUUGGUAUUUUUCUUGAGAAGUUUUACUGACAAU
Molecule: long non-coding RNA, 1428 nt
Organism: Mus musculus (house mouse)
Lineage: Eukaryota; Metazoa; Chordata; Mammalia; Rodentia; Muridae
Product: predicted gene, 36225
Exons: 5
Source: RefSeq, a predicted model, not a curated record